GUUUGAUCCUGGCUCAGGAUGAACGCUGGCGGCGUGCCUAACACAUGCAAGUCGAGCGAUGACGAUUGGAACGCGACCUUCGGGUCAAGUGAAGAUAAGAUUAGCGGCGGACGGGUGAGUAACACGUGAGGAACCUGCCUCUUGCGAGGGGAUAGCCUCGGGAAACCGGGAUUAAUACCCUAUGAAACAUCAUGAUCGCAUGAUCGAGAUGUCAAAUAUUUAUCGGCAAGAGAUGGCCUCGCGUCCCAUUAGCUAGUUGGUGGAGUAAUAGCCUACCAAGGCAAUGACGGGUAGGGGACCUGAGAGGGUGGCCCCCCACAAUGGAACUGAAACACGGUCCAUACACCUACGGGUGGCAGCAGUAGGGAAUAUUAGAAAUGGGCGAAAGCCUGAUCUAGCAACACCGCGUGUGCGAUGAAGGCCUUCGGGUUGUAAAGCACUUUUUGGAGGGAAUAGGAAGGAAGGUACCUCCAGAAUAAGUCUCGGCUAACUACGUGCCAGCAGCCGCGGUAACACGUAGGAGGCAAACGUUAUCCGGAUUCACUGGGCGUAAAGCGCGUGUAGGUGGUUCUGUAAGUAGGGCGUGAAAGCUCCCGGCUCAACUGGGAGAGGCCGUACUAAACUGCAGAGCUAGAGGAUGGUAGAGGGAGGUGGAAUUCCAGGUGUAGUGGUGAAAUGCGCAGAUAUCUGGAGGAACACCAGUGGCGAAGGCGGCCUCCUGGACCAUUCCUGACACUCAGACGCGAAAGCUAGGGUAGCAAACGGAAUUAGAGACUCCGGUAGUCCUAGCCCUAAACGAUGCAGACUAGGCGUCGGCGGUUUAAUCACCGUCGGUGUCCAAGCUAACGCGAUAAGUCUGCCGCCUGAGGACUACGGCCGCAAGGCUAAAACUCAAAGGAAUUGACGGGUCCCCGCACAAGCAGCGGAGCGUGUGGUUUAAUUCGAUGCUCCGCGAAGAACCUUACCUGGGUUUGACAUAACAGUGGUAGAGAAGUGAAAACGGAUCGACCCUUCGGGGAGCUGUUACAGGUGUUGCAUGCCUGUCGUCAGCUCGUGUCGUGAGAUGUUCGGUUAAGUCCGCUAACGAGCGCAACCCGCGCUGUGUGUUACAAGUGUCACACAGUACCGCCGGUAUUAAGUCGGAGGAAGGUGCGGAUGACGUCAAGUCAGCAUGACCUUUAUAUCCAGGGCUACACACACGCUACAAUGGUCAGAACAAUAGGUUGCCAAGCCGCAAGGCGGAGCCAAUCCUCCAAAUCUGGCCUCAGUUCAGAUUGCAGGCUGCAACUCGCCUGCAUGAAGUCGGAGUUGCUAGUAACCGCAGGUCAGCAUACUGCGGUGAAUACGUUCCCGGGGAUUGUACACACCGCCCGUCA
RNAcentral lists this ribosomal RNA (1376 nucleotides) under uncultured bacterium. Its description in RNAcentral is "16S ribosomal RNA". It matches the Rfam family "Bacterial small subunit ribosomal RNA". The record is from RNAcentral.